CCUACGGGUGGCUGCAGUGGGGAAUAUUGCACAAUGGGGGGAACCCUGAUGCAGCGACGCCGCGUGGGUGAAGGAGUACUUCGGUACGUAAAGCCCUAUCAGCAGGAAAGAAAAUGACGGUACCUGACUAAGAAGCACCGGCUAACUACGUGCCAGCAGCCGCGGUAAUAUGUAGGGGGCAAGCGUGAUCCGGAUUUACUGGGGGGAAAGGGAGCGUAGAUGGCAGUGCAAGUCCGCAGUGAAAGCCCGGGGCUCAACGCUGGGACUGCACGGGAAACAGUAGUGCUGGAGGGCGGGAGGGGCAGACGGAAUGCGUGGUGUAGCGGUGAAAUGCGUAGAUAUCAGGAGG
Molecule: ribosomal RNA, 349 nt
Filed under: uncultured bacterium
Lineage: Bacteria
Description: partial 16S ribosomal RNA
Rfam family: Bacterial small subunit ribosomal RNA
Source: RNAcentral